This 527-nucleotide ribosomal RNA is filed under the name uncultured low G+C Gram-positive bacterium. RNAcentral's name for it is "bacterial SSU rRNA". It matches the Rfam family "Bacterial small subunit ribosomal RNA", at positions 1 to 529 of the family's 1533-position model. Lineage: Bacteria; Bacillati; Bacillota. The record is from RNAcentral.
GCCCUUAGAGUUUGAUCCUGGCUCAGGAUGAACGCUGGCGGCGUGCCUAACACAUGCAAGUCGAACGGAGUUUACUAACUAAAACCUUCGGGUUGAAGAUAGUAACACUUAGUGGCGGACGGGUGAGUAACGCGUAAGCAACCUGCCCUGUACAGAGGGAUAACAUUGGGAAACCGAUGCUAAUACCUCAUAAAGCUAUUUUAAGGCAUCUUAAGAUAGUUAAAGAUUUAUCGGUACAGGAUGGGCUUGCGUCUGAUUAGCUAGUUGGUGGGGUAAGAGCUCACCAAGGCGAUGAUCAGUAGCCGACCUGAGAGGGUGAUCGGCCACACUGGAACUGAGACACGGUCCAGACUCCUACGGGAGGCAGCAGUGGGGAAUAUUGCACAAUGGGGGAAACCCUGAUGCAGCAACGCCGCGUGAGCGAAGAAGGCCUUCGGGUCGUAAAGCUCUGUCCUAAGGGAAGAUAUAGACGGUACCUUAGGAGGAAGCCCCGGCUAACUACGUGCCAGCAGCCGCGGUAACACGUA